AUAAAUACAUAGAAGAGAAGAGUAGUUUAGGAAUAUAACUAAAAGAGAGCUAGGUAUGGUGAAAACUAGCGUUAUGGAACUUUACGAAGAUGGUCUUGGAGUUGAUUAUCUGAGCUUUAAAAGUUAGGAUAAUACGGGAGCAACCGUUAUAUUGCAGGGUGAUGAUAGUCACCUACAGAGAUAUUUAUUGUGAAAUAAAUAUAAAAAUAGAGUGGUAACGCGUAUAUAACGCCUCUAUA
This 239-nucleotide non-coding RNA is filed under the name Clostridium celatum. Its description in RNAcentral is "T-box sequence". It matches the Rfam family "T-box leader". Rfam says of the family: Uncharged tRNA acts as the effector for transcription antitermination of genes in the T-box leader family. T-boxes are found upstream of many aminoacyl-tRNA synthetase genes and some amino acid biosynthetic genes usually in Gram-positive bacteria. The record is from RNAcentral. Lineage: Bacteria; Bacillati; Bacillota; Clostridia; Eubacteriales; Clostridiaceae.